Molecule: long non-coding RNA, 657 nt
Organism: Daphnia magna
Lineage: Eukaryota; Metazoa; Arthropoda; Branchiopoda; Diplostraca; Daphniidae
Exons: 4
Source: RefSeq, a predicted model, not a curated record
GUAGUCCGACAACGCUGUCGGCAGCCAUCUUAAGAAAACUCCACCCUUUUAGUACACAGGCUCUUAUGGAAGUAUUUUUUCAAAGUGAUUUUUGUCUUAACUGGAUUACAAUUUCGACCAAAGAAAAAUAGUGAAAAAUACUACAUAAUUCAGGGCAUCCCCUAACAUGUCAAAGUUCUAUAAGAAGUGUGUUGUCAAAGGGUGUCCUAACAAUGGAAUAGGAGAUAAGUCAGUUGGCGUACGGUUCUUUGGUAUUCCUGUCUCUCCAGACAACAGAUACCCAUCGGACUCAAUAAUUAUUCAGCAAUAAGAAGAGAACUCUGGUUAGCUAGGUUAAACAUCAAUGAUGCUAACAUCAAAACAAAACACUUGGUGUGUAAUCUUCAUUUUGCAUCUGGAAAACCAAGCUACUAUUUACAGAAAAAUCACCCAGAUUGGGCUCCUUCAUUAUCAUUAAACAAAGCUAUCACAGAUAGCACUCGUUUACAAAGAAGAGUGUUGUAUACCUACAACAGAGAGGCUAUGUUUAUGAACACUUUAGCAAACUAUACCCAACGCAAGAAGGAAGAUAAUAGCAACAUUACGAAAGAUAGCGUUCUUUUGCCUCGGUUGGCAAACUAUCAGAAUAGUUGGAAAGGUCGAAUAAUUGGAUUACAG